AUAUUGUAAUAAUUAAAUUGACCGUUAUUGACGUCACACAUAGGCGCCCGCAGGAAAUUUAAUCAGGGAGGGGCAGUGCCUUGGUAAAAAGUUUCGAAUGAUUUUUUUUUAAGUACAUAUAUUUUUCAAAUAUAAGUAUACACAUAUUACUAAACAAGAACCUGCCAUUUGAUAACCGGGCAGACAUAGGAAUGAGGGCUAUAAUAAAAUCAAACACUAACGAACUAUAACAAAGUAAUAUAAAUUAUCUAAUUAUUAAAAUCAUAUUUGAAAUUUUGGAGUCCAGAGGGGGGCAGAUGCCCCGUUUCGCCCUGCUUUCCGGCGUCACAUAUUAUCUAAGUUUUUAUGUAUUAUAAUCUACGCAUUUUGAAUACGUACCGUAUUGAUAACAAUAGGGAUUAUUGUGUGAACGGUUUUUUUUUUAAAUUGGCCGUUUAAAAAGCCUACCGCUAACGCGUUUCGUGCUAAUUGAGCGAAGGCGAUUAAUAAUCCGGCCGUCCCGUAGCCAGUGGUGCUC
Non-coding RNA from Cinara cedri, 517 nucleotides. NCBI's taxonomy places the organism in Eukaryota, Metazoa, Arthropoda, Insecta, Hemiptera, Aphididae. The record is from the annotation of a GenBank genome assembly.